CCUACGGGCGGCAGCAGUGGGGAAUAUUGGGCAAUGGGCGCAAGCCUGACCCAGCAACGCCGCGUGAAGGAAGAAGGCUUUCGGGUUGUAAACUUCUUUUCUCAGGGACGAAGCGAGUGACGGUACCUGAGGAAUAAGCCACGGCUAACUACGUGCCAGCAGCAGCGGUAAUACGUAGGUGGCAAGAGUUAUCCGGAUUUGCUGGGUUUAAAGGGCGUGUAGGCGGUGAUGCAAGUCAGAUGUGAAAACCAGUGGCGCAACCUUUGGACUGGAUUGGAAACUGGGAUGCGUGAGUACGGGAGAGGCAGACGGAAUGCGGGGUGUAGCGGUGAAAUGCAUAGAUAAG
Molecule: ribosomal RNA, 346 nt
Filed under: uncultured bacterium
Lineage: Bacteria
Description: partial 16S ribosomal RNA
Rfam family: Bacterial small subunit ribosomal RNA
Source: RNAcentral